GCCUUUAUAGCUCAGUUGGGAGAGCGUCAGACUGAAGAUCUGAAGGUCCCUGGUUCGAUCCCGGGUGAAGGCA
Angomonas deanei is the source of this 73-nucleotide non-coding RNA. Lineage: Eukaryota; Euglenozoa; Kinetoplastea; Trypanosomatida; Trypanosomatidae. The record is from Rfam.